Molecule: ribosomal RNA, 234 nt
Filed under: uncultured bacterium
Lineage: Bacteria
Description: partial 16S ribosomal RNA
Rfam family: Bacterial small subunit ribosomal RNA
Source: RNAcentral
GAUCCUGGCUCAGGACGAACGCUGGCGGCGCGCCUAACACAUGCAAGUCGAACGGAGCUACUUUGAUAGAUCUCUUCGGAGUGACAUUGAUUUAGCUUAGUGGCGAACGGGUGAGUAACACGUGAGGAACCUGCCUUUCAGAGGGGGACAACAGUUGGAAACGACUGCUAAUACCGCAUAAGACCACGAUACGGCAUCGUAUUGAGGUCAAAGGAGCAAUCCGCUGAAAGAUGG